GAUGAACGCUGGCGGCGUGCCUAAUACAUGCAAGUCGAGCGAACAGACGAGGAGCUUGCUCCUCUGACGUUAGCGGCGGACGGGUGAGUAACACGUGGAUAACCUACCUAUAAGACUGGGAUAACUUCGGGAAACCGGAGCUAAUACCGGAUAAUAUAUUGAACCGCAUGGUUCAAUAGUGAAAGACGGUUUUGCUGUCACUUAUAGAUGGAUCCGCGCCGCAUUAGCUAGUUGGUAAGGUAACGGCUUACCAAGGCAACGAUGCGUAGCCGACCUGAGAGGGUGAUCGGCCACACUGGAACGGAGACACGGUCCAGACGCCUACGGGAGGGAGCAGUAGGGAAUCUUCCGCAAUGGGCGAGAGCUUGACGGAGCAACGCCGCGUGAGUGAUGAAGGUCUUCGGAUCGUAAAACUCUGUUAUUAGGGAAGAACAAAUGUGUAAGUAACUAUGCACGUCUUGACGGUACCUAAUCAGAAAGCCACGGCUAACUACGUG
This 497-nucleotide ribosomal RNA is filed under the name uncultured bacterium. RNAcentral's name for it is "partial 16S ribosomal RNA". It matches the Rfam family "Bacterial small subunit ribosomal RNA", at positions 28 to 507 of the family's 1533-position model. The record is from RNAcentral.